This 274-nucleotide ribosomal RNA is filed under the name uncultured bacterium. RNAcentral's name for it is "partial 16S ribosomal RNA". It matches the Rfam family "Bacterial small subunit ribosomal RNA", at positions 523 to 796 of the family's 1533-position model. The record is from RNAcentral.
AUACGAAGGGUGCAAGCGUUAAUCGGAAUUACUGGGCGUAAAGCGCGCGUAGGUGGUUUGUUAAGUUGAAUGUGAAAGCCCCGGGCUCAACCUGGGAACUGCAUCCAAAACUGGCAAGCUAGAGUAUGGCAGAGGGUGGUGGAAUUUCCUGUGUAGCGGUGAAAUGCGUAGAUAUAGGAAGGAACACCAGUGGCGAAGGCGACCACCUGGGCUAAUACUGACACUGAGGUGCGAAAGCGUGGGGAGCAAACAGGAUUAGAUACCCCAGUAGUCC